This 740-nucleotide ribosomal RNA is filed under the name cyanobacterium enrichment culture clone 5_10_5.3.4_G04-T7. RNAcentral's name for it is "bacterial SSU rRNA". It matches the Rfam family "Bacterial small subunit ribosomal RNA", at positions 11 to 796 of the family's 1533-position model. Lineage: Bacteria; Bacillati; Cyanobacteriota. The record is from RNAcentral.
GUUUGAUCCUGGCUCAGGAUGAACGCUGGCGGUAUGCUUAACACAUGCAAGUCGAACGGAACCUUCGGGUUUAGUGGCGGACGGGUGAGUAACGCGUGAGAAUCUGCCUCUAGGUCGGGGACAACAACUGGAAACGGUUGCUAAUACCCGAUGUGCAGCAAUGUGAAAGAUUUAUUGCCUAGAGAUGAGCUCGCGUCUGAUUAGCUAGUAGGUGUGGUAAUGGCGCACCUAGGCGACGAUCAGUAACUGGUCUGAGAGGAUGACCAGUCACACUGGGACUGAGACACGGCCCAGACUCCUACGGGAGGCAGCAGUGGGGAAUUUUCCGCAAUGGGCGAAAGCCUGACGGAGCAAUACCGCGUGAGGGACGAAGGCUUUUGGGUCGUAAACCUCUUUUCCCUGAGAAGAAGAUCUGACGGUAUCAGGGGAAUCAGCAUCGGCUAACUUCGUGCCAGCAGCCGCAGUAAUACGAGGGAUGCAAGCGUUAUCCGGAAUUAUUGGGCGUAAGGCGUCCGCAGGUGGCUCUGUAAGUCUGUCGUUAAAGAAUGGGGCUCAACCCCAUACAGGCGAUGGAAACUACAAGGCUAGAGUUUGGUAGGGGUCACGGGAAUUCUUAGUGUAGCGGUGAAAUGCGUAGAUAUUAAGAAGAACACCAGCGGCGAAAGCGCGUGACUGGGCCAGUACUGACACUCAUGGACGAAAGCUAGGGGAGCGAAAGGGAUUAGAUACCCCUGUAGUCC